CCACCAUUCUACUUUCCAACUCUACAAAUUUGACCAUUCUAGAUACCUUGAAUAAAUGGCAUCAUACAUCUUUUUGUGACUGGCUUACCUCACAUCAACAUCUUCAAGAUACUUAUUGGACACCUACUGUGGGGCUGGGAACUAGACCCUGAGAAUACAGCAGUGAACGAGGUGGACACGGACCCUGCCGUUAAGGAGCUUGCCAUUUAGUGAGAGGGAAAAUAAUAAGGAAUUUACAACGAGGUGAUGAAAAUAACUGGCUAUCAGGGUCAUAAAGGAUUCAUCAUUAAACAGCAUUUCCACUCUCCAGGCCCAGAAAUGCACGGAUCAGGAAUCAAAAACCUCAAAUGCCUCCAGGAGCCAAGCAGGUCACAGAAAUGAGUGAACUGGGCUGAAUAAGAACUAAAGGGAACUGAGGAGCUCACACCCCGUCCCAAGGAUGCCAUUGCCCUAUGUCCCUAGCUGAUGUGACCACACGGGAAUGUGGGCAUAUUUGGACAGAUCUUCAAUUUCCCAAGCAACACCAGAAGUCUGGAUUUUUAAGUAAAACACCCAAUUUUAAAUGCUGGCUCAAACAAACAAACAAACAAACAAACAAACAAACACCCCUUUGUGGGCCAAGCUAAGAAUAUGUGUAGGAUAACGUACAUAUGACUGCAUCCUCACCUCUCCCAUACCAGCUAUAGAUGAUUGAACCAAAAGGGCUUGAGUCCAGGACAGAACUUGGAAGGUGAUUUUCAAAAGAAAUCUAGAGAGCAGGCCAGUUCUUUUCAUCAGACUCUUUCUGCUAAAAAAAUCAACACAAUGACCUUUGACCAAAAUCAGAAAAGUCCAACCCAGACCAAAAACCAGCAGCAAACAAGAUUCCUGCUAAUUUCAGGGAGUUGGCUCUCUCAUGUCAAGAGUUGACUUUCAGAGAUCUCUAUUGAACUCUAUCAAAUUUCCAGGUAACUGGACCCAAAAUUUCCUGGGUCAUCUUGAAUUCCUGGGCAGCAAAGCAAUCAAGAAAUUCCAUUGCUGAGUCAUAGAAUCAUGGUCCCAGAAUUGUUAGGAAACAAACACCCAAAGGAGUGUCUGAUUCCCUUCAAAACCAUCCUGGAAAUGGUGGAAAACGAGACCCCUCUCACUCCCGACCAUAGCAGCCUGUCUUCGACCUUUCUAGCAUGCAUCACAAUGUACGUUUUUAAAAUAUCUGAUGUUUUUUAGUUUAUGGUCUCUGCCCUCCACCCCACUAAAAUGGAAGCUCCAUGAGAGCAGUCAGGGACCCUGCGUUCUUCACAGCAGCAAAUUCCAAAUACACACCUGUGAAAUAAUAAAUUAAUGAUCGAUCAUCAAAGUUAUAUUUCAGUGUCCCCGGAGACAGGGAGCUAUUACUUCCCAAAGCAGACAAUUAUUUCUUUGGACACUCUUGCCAAAUAGAAAACUUUUCUAAAAUAGAUCUGAAUCUACAUAAUCUCUGUUAGCUCCAGUUUUAUCUCUUGGCGUCGUACAAGCUAAGCUUAUAUUCUCUUCCAACUCACGGGUUCCUAGAUAUCUAAACACAGGUGUCAUUUCUCUUUUAAUCUUGCUUU
This is a long non-coding RNA of Canis lupus familiaris (dog), 1571 nucleotides long. RefSeq lists it as uncharacterized. The record is from RefSeq and is a predicted model, not a curated record. Lineage: Eukaryota; Metazoa; Chordata; Mammalia; Carnivora; Canidae. The transcript has 3 exons.